RNAcentral lists this ribosomal RNA (275 nucleotides) under Mytilus galloprovincialis (Mediterranean mussel). Its description in RNAcentral is "partial 16S ribosomal RNA". The stretch from base 32 to 275 matches the Rfam family "Bacterial large subunit ribosomal RNA", at positions 2048 to 2536 of the family's 2925-position model. The record is from RNAcentral. Lineage: Eukaryota; Metazoa; Mollusca; Bivalvia; Mytilida; Mytilidae.
GCUGUGUCUAAAAAUUCAAUUUAAACUAACUUUAAGGUGAAGAGGCCUUUAUGUAAAAGAAGGACGACAAGACCCUAUGAAGCUUUAUCUUAAUUGGAGCUUUCAGGCUCUUAUACGAUUUUGAUGGGAGAUCAGUAAAAAUAAGUCCUCUACUAUUAUAUUAAUCUUACUAGAAUUUCCUAACUUUAUAUGUGUGACUAGCUACUCUAGGGAUAACAGCGCAAUUUCUCCCGAAAGAUGGUAUUGGAGGGGAAGAUUGCGACCUCGAUGUUGGC